AGAAGAGAAGAGGUGGGACAGAUCUGAGCCUCUCCUCCUUGGCCCCAAGGAAUGAAAUGAGCAGGAGAUGUUACUGCUGUCAGACGUCUUGCUUCAAAUUUCUCUCAGGAAAGUUCAAGGACCAUAUUGGGAUCCAGAGUGGUGAUGCACUGAACUGAAUUUUCCUGCUCUACUGCACAUAGAGAGGUUCUCUACUGACACAUAAACCUUUUACUGAUGCAAAAACUUGCAGAAUUCCCCCUGGAAAAAGGAUACCAAAACUGGGGAAAGGUACAGUAUACAUUGAACUAGAGUCACGUUUGCAUGCAAAACCAUUUAGUUCCCCCUUCCCUCCAGCUCUCUGUAGGAACUAUCCUAUUUAUUGCUUUGGAUUGUAUUUUUCCCUGCAGAUACAGGAGAAUGCGAAUUGCAUCUCCUUAUUCCUGUGGUGGCAAAUGUGCUGGAUGGGGGGAUUCCCCUAGUGCAGGUGGUAGUACUACAGGAAUGGGCAGUACUGAAGUCCAGCAGAGGUUCCUUAGGAGCCCUUCAGUGAAGGCUGCCUGAGAGAUGCUGUGAUGCGUUGUAUCCCAUACUGGUAAAUAAUGGAUUAAUAGGAGAAUUAGUGCCUAGGUAGCCCAUCAGGGAGGGAAGCCCCACCUGAGGGAGGGAAGAAGGGCAGGCCCAAUUUAGUAUGAGAGCCAGCUGAGAAGGAGGAUGGGGCACCAUACAGGCAGAUCUGAAGUGAACUAGCAGAAGAGACUCUGGAGGUGGGGACUGCUAGAGAGGCUGGGAGUAGCCUUGAGAACUCUCUUCAAUAGAGAGUUGGGAAGAAGCUGCACAAGGACAGCAGGCAUAGUGGUGGUUGCAGUCCCUUUGAGAGAUGCCAGUAAAUGGGAGAAGGUAGGAGCAGCCCAGAGAAGUGGCAAAGGAUUGUAAGGAACAUCCCUUAGCUGCCUAACACACAGGGACCCUGGGCUGGAACCCAGAGGAAAGGAGAGGGCAGACCUGGGUUCUCAUCCCCUUACCCCAGCCAGAGGGGAAGUGCAAGUCUCAGGACUAAGAGGCCAAGAUUGAUGAGUACUGUAUGGGAGCUGAAGGCCUGUCAUAAAGGUUAUUAGACUUUGGAGUUUUUCUGUCUCUUUUUCCCCUGCCCUGGAAGGGGACUGAAUAUGAAAGGUGAGUUGGCCGGAGGGUUGGGACACAGAAGAUGCAGAGCCAGGACCAUAGGCAAUAGAGUGAAAGAACCCCUUCAACCCCUUAUCAUGGUUUGGGGGGCAAGGGGAGGAAGGUGUUUCAGUAGUGAUUUUAAUGACAGAUGCUUAAUCAGUGCCUCUUCCACCUGGGUAGGUCAUGUUCCUCCUGAGCCAAUCCCAUCCACUUUGUGGCUGACUAGGCUGCUUCUGGGCCCUCUCAAUGGAGUGGAAUUAGCAGGAAGCUGACAGCUCUACACCACUACUUCUGGUGAACUUAAUAAGAACUUUGCCAGUCAGGAGUGCAAGGUGACGUUACGUGAAUUGAAUGAGUGGAGAAUGUUAAUUUGGAAACAGUCUCUAUUGGGUUCUUAGAAACAAUUCUGACCUAAGAGGAGGCUGAAUCAAGGGAAGGUGUAUGGCUCAGUGAAAGCUUCAUAGUGAAACCUGAGGCCAUGUCAACCUUGUAGAAGAAUGGAACCAAUUUGGCAAUACCUUGGACCCACAUAUCUGCACUCCAAACAAGACCAAGGAUCCCUCACAGAUAUAUUUGUGUUUUCCUUCCAUGAAGAGUCUAGCAGUGAAAUUUUGUGGCAGAAAUGUUUGUGGAAAUGUAGAUUUUUUUAAAACAACACUGAAGAAUAUUUGCAGAAAACAAAUUUUGAUUUUGCAAAUGUUAAGUAUUCUAAGACUUACUUUCAUCUAGUAAGAUAAAUGAGUAGACCAUGUUAUCAAUAUGUCCAGUCUAUACUCAACUUUAAUUUUGUAUAUUGACUGCUUGCAACAAACUGCUCACCAGUGAUCUACAGUGCAAGAAGCAUCUGCAACAAUUAUUCACAAAUUCUUUCUCAAAAAUGAAUACAUUCAAGAAAACCAUAAUUUUUUCAUUGAUCCUACAAUGGGACCACAUCUACUUCUACCCACCCGUGUGGGUGAAAACUGCUACUUUUUAUUAUUAUUUACAUUACAGUCACCUCUAUGCACUGUGAUGCACACACCAUUGUGCUAGGCACUGUACAAACACAUAGUGAGAGAAAGACCCUACCCAUGACAGUCUUAAUAGAUGAGACAGACGAGGAUGGGAAAGGAAAGAGAAGCAGAGGUGAAACAACUUGCCUAAGAAUUUCAGACUACAGUUCAGUUUAGCAGUCAAAUUUGCCUGCUCAGCAAGGGGAGGUGCAGACUUUCUGUGUCCCACUAUACCAUGGCAGUAGGGGCAGACUGAGUCUGGCUCUUAGUGUGCAGAUCCCUCUGAGAGUGACGUCAUUCUCACCUGACAUGGAUUUCAAGCCCAGGUGAGUAACUUGUCAUAAAUAUAAUGCCCCAUCGACCCUUAAAAUAGAAUUCUCUGAUAUGAAGAUCCAAGAUUAUCUGUUUUCAUUUCCCUAACUGAUCCAGGGAGAUGAGAGAUUUUCUGGCUAUCCCAGAAGGAGGACAGAAGAGACUGGAUGCGGUUUAAAUAGGCUGCUCUUUAUUCCUAAAUGUCAGGGAGUGCCCAGUAGAUAAAAGUGUACAGUGCAGGUAAUUCCAUAAUCAUUUACAUAUACUUGCAGUGGGAGGCUGCUGUCAGCCCUCCAGCCAACCCACUGCUGGGAGCUUGCUACCUCCCACCUCUAGAAUGGGGGGCUAUAAAUGACUGGCCGUACCAAUCAAAGGAGCUCCAAAAACCCCUCUUUCAGCUCCUUUAAAAAAUACUUCCCUUAAAUCCCUUACCAAUGCAUUUUAUCAGAUCACUGCGUCCCUUCCUUGUAGAUCCUCCCCACACUUACAUAACAAGUUGCAACAUCAUAGCCUAGCCCCUGCUUCAUGUCUGCCCAACUAAGCCCCUGGCCUGCUAUGGAAAAGGUUAAAAACCCUCCACCUCACUUUGGCCAAUCCAGUGGUCAGGGAAAACAUUCCUUCCCAGCGCUUGAGAAGAUAGCAACUAGCAUAAGUUCACAGCAGAUCAUGAAAAAACCUGGGAUUUAACUACUUUAACAGGUGUGCGAAUGGAUGCUGCACCACCUGGUCAAGGAAAAGAUGGCUUUUCCAGCGCCUAAAUAGUUUCCCCUCUCUUCUGGUCACCUGUGGGGGGUCGGGUUAGCAUCCCCAGGCUGACAAAGUCUGAAGCUGCCACAAUGAAUCAUUCUCUGGUUAUCUAGCCCUUCAAGGGACCACACACCUUUUCCUACACACCAGACAACAGCCCCCGCAACUUAAUGUGUGGUGAGGUUAUUCUCUUGUAGCACCUUAUUGAUGCAAUUUGACCUUGUUGAGGAAUGAAGCUCUUCUCUGAUGGAAGAGAGGGGUGUGAAGGCGUGUGUGAGUGCAAAGUGCUCUUACUUUGCCUGUAUUCAAAUUCUAAUUCCAUAUUCCGGUAACAGAUCACACUGACAACCAAAAAUAGCAGGGCCUGAAAAUAUACUCACAAGAAUGAUUGUCAUACGAAUAAGAAUAGUUCCUGUUUAACCCAUUCUCUUAUCAGCUCAGCUCACUGUAAUCUUCUGAUCUUCCCCUGGUACUUUCCUGUAACCCUUGGCCAAGAGUCCAUUCAUGAAAAGUAACAGUCUAAUAGUAAUAAAAUAACUCUCAUGCCAACAGUAUGCAACUAAUGUGGAUUAAAUAAAGUAUACCUACCUUGUGUAGGAAAGCAAAUGUAUUGCUUCAAUAAUAGCUCUCUUUAAUGUGGCAUGACUUCGACUUUUGGUUACUCUGUUUUUCUGGCUGAAUUCCAGGUCCAAACUUCAGGUCCAGGUGCUGAUUUACUCCAUUGGUUUCAUUGGGUUGCACAGAAUGUAAAUCUGACCCAAAUUCCCCCUGCAGAUUCAACUGGAUAGAAUCAUCUGUGCUUCCAAUACAAAAUUAUUGAACACAUUGCCACAUUCAGCUCCAGAAGUGGCUGUAAUGCAGGGAGGGAUGAAAUUAUUGGUAUAGUUGUUAGUAUUAUUUGUAUUGUUGUGAGCCCUAGGCAUGAACAAGGAUCCCAUUAUGCUAGAAACACAGAAGAAAGAUGGUCCCUACCCCGCAAAGAAUUUACAAUAUACAAUAAGACAAGAGACGAGACGUAUACAGACAGUACAAGGAAAUCAUCAGACAGUAUUGUUCAGCAUGACUGGCAGUGGUGUCAGCACAUCAGCAGUCUAAUUGUUAUCAAUUUCUUUGUAGGCAUCAUGGCAGAGGAGCAUUUGAAGGAGGAUAAUGAGGGAGCCUUGAGAUGUUUAUGGAGGGCUCUUCCCAAGCAUGUGGGGCAACAUGGUAGAAAGCACAGAAUUGCUUGUCUGAGAAUGUAACACAUGGCUGAUUGAUCAUCCCAUGGUUGCUUCUGAGGUCGGAGUUGGCAUCUCAAUAGUGAAUGAGAGAUGAUAGGGUGGGGACUGACCGUGAAAGGCCUGGAAAGUGAAGACGAGUAGUUUGUUUGAUCAGAGAAAGAGAAGACAGAGCCAGUGCAGGGAUGCAAAGAGAGAGGUGAUAUGGUCAAAGCAAUGGGAUAGGUUUAUGAUCUUAUUCUGAAUGACUAUGGGCUGUGCAGGACUGCGUUUGACAAUGUCAGAGAAAAGGAUGUUGCAGUAAUCAAGACACAAGAUAAUGAGAGCUUGGUUGAUAGCUUAAACCAGUGGUGUGCAACCUAUGGCCCUUCAGGGUAAUCCGCUGGCAGGCUUUGAGACAGUUUGUUUACAUUUGCACGGCUACCAACAGCUCCCAGUGGCCAUGGUUCACUGUUCCCAGCCAAUGGGAGCUGCAGGAAGCAGCACGAGCUGCAGGGACAUGCUGUCCACUGCUUCCCGCUGCUGCCAUUGACUGGGAACGGCGAACCGCAGCCACUGGAAGCUGCAGGUGGCCAUGCAAAUGUAAACAAACUGUCUGGUGGCCCGCCAGCAGAUUACCCUGACGGGCCAUAGGUUGCCGACCACUGGCUUAAACUAUGUGGAUGGAUGGAAAGGCCAUAUCUUAAAGAUAUUAUGCAGAAAAAAAUCUACAUGGUUUAGCUAUAGCAUGGAUGUGAGGACAGAGACAGUUCUGAGUCAAAGAUGACAUGCAGCUUUUGAGUUUGAGUAUCAGGAGAGAACAUAGUCAAAAAGCAAAGGGGAUUACAAAAUUUUAAGAAGAGAAGCAUGGUUGAUAGUGUCAAAGGAGGCUGACAGGUCAAGGAGGAUGAAGAUGGAGUAUUUGUUCUGAGACUUGGGUAGAGAGGUUCUAGGAUGGAACUGGAGGAGAACUACUCCAGACAGCAACUAUAAAUAGAACCUUCAAUGAGCUUGAAGAUGGAACGGGAGUUGGAGAAGCAAGUGGGGUCAAGGAUGGAUUUUCUAAGAUGGGAGAGAAUGCAGCAUGCUUCUAUUGUGAGGGGGAAAGAGCCAGAAGGGAGUGAGACUUUAAAAAAGAAGAAUACAGGAUGGGGAUGAGAGUGAGUAUGAAUGACAUCAGGGGAUGGGAUGGGGUAACUGGGGCAAGUGGAGGGGAUAGGGGAAGAAAGCAGACACACUGAUCCCAUCCAAUGCCUAUAGUUAAAUUUGUAAACCAUUUUGGAAUUGUUUGAAAUGAAACGCCCUCUAGAGGGCCCAACAUUUAAGCCAACAAGGGUCUGUAAUGGUCUAUAUUUGUCAAAAGUUACCAUGCAGUGGUAUCAGAGAUUUCCCAUUUGUUUCUUUUCUAAGUGUGGGGGAAAUCUUGACUAUAACACUGGGAUAAAGUUUGGAUUCUUUAAUGGCAAGCAAUGUAUAUAUGAAAGCUAUCAAAAUUGACUUUUGUUUUAAUCUGUUUACAGAAUAGGAAAAAGUUAGUAUUUCCAUACUUACCCACACAACAGCUGUUCAUGGUACUUGAGAUGCAUCAUCUACCCCACGGCCCAUGGUUUCAUUUACUCCAACCUUUUUUACCCAUAUGUGCAUAUUGUACGGAUUCACCAGCCCAGGGACAGAGAGGGGUGCAUCUUAUACCUCCCCUGUUCAGGAACUGAUAGGGAUGAUUUGGUCCUAGGCUAAAGCAGCCCUAAGAACUACUUUGACUUGUACACCUGUUGCAUGACCUUUCUGUGUGAUUGCAGAACAUAGAAUUACCAGGGAAUGCCCUUGCCAUGGCUUCUCCAACCUCUGACAUGUCCCCUUCCUUCUCCAGCCUGCCCCACCGAGAGCACCUCCUCUGUCUGGAAUAUUCCUAGAAAGGGAAGUUUACGACUGUCCUUUGGCUCCUUUGUGCUGACCUAGCUGGUGCAAAAGAGCCACAGGGCAACUAUAAAUCUGACCUGCAUAUUUUUUGUAUAACACUGGACAUGUCACCUAACAGGAGAGAUCCUCCAAAUCUGACAUUGCCAUGGCAGUUAUUCAUGUCAUCAAUCCAGACUGAUGCAGUGAUGACAUCAGAUAUAUCCCUCUGGAGGCCUGACAUAAUGUCAUUCAAAGGUGUGGGCUUGGUAGGUAAGAAUUCUCAGGCCACCGGCAAAUGCCCCAGUAGUUGAGCAGAUAAGCUCAAACUCAACAUCAGUGUGUGAGAGAAUGAGUGUAAACUUGCAUUUUAAUCUGGGAACAAUAAGGAGUUAUAUCAAGCACAGUGCAGUUCCCAUGCCUAUUUCAAGUACAUGGGGCCUUGGCAGCAUAAAUAAUGGGAGUAGGAUAAUACCCCUCUGCAUUUUUUAUGCAAAAUAUUCCAUGGUUUAAAGCUACUGAAUAUACAAAUGCUACAUAUUGCCUUUGUGGUGUAAAUCCAAACUUCAUCUAGCUGACAGUUAUAAAUAUACCUUCUCCCUCAGAUUGAAGAAUACAAAAGGGAUGCAAUUGGAUAGGAACUGUUCCACUGAAGCUAGUUUUCUCACUCGGUGCAUAAUGAGAUCAGAAUGCAAAAGGAAUGUGUGGAGGAGUACAGCUGGCAGGAAUACUGGCUUGAAUUAUUCUGUGUAUAUUCUCUCUCUAAUAAAGCACCUUUUUUUAAAUGCAGGUGAUUUGUGUGGAUGAUUCUGUUUGAAUAUAAGUUUCAGCCACUUUGUACUACAUGAGCAAAUACAAAUUGCCAGAAUGUCACAUUCAUGACAGUUACAUACAAUGUCACAUUACAUGACAGUUGGUGGGCUGGGCUGUUCCCAUACCUUCCUUUAUUAUGGUUAUUUCAGAGCAUUUGGCAUUUACAACCACUUUGCUGAGUGCUGGAAAGUAAGAAAUUAGAUCUUAAAAACAAAUAAACAAGCUACUGUUCAUGCUAAUACAAAUAGGAAAAAAAACAACAAAAAACAGAGAGGGGAGGGCAGUAUUACAUGCGUUACCCAGACUUGUUUACAACCUGAUUUUGCAAAAGUUACAGCUUGACCCCAGCAUAACCUUGAAAUCUACACAGUAAGAGGAAAUACUAUGUAAAUUAGUACAGUCAAAACAAAACAGGCAGGCAGAAGUUUCAGAGUGCACAAAAAACUGGAACUAGAGACUUGCAAAAUGCUUCUUCAUGACAGGGUUUGCAUAAGCACAAAAUGCAGUUCAUCCAUGAAAUGCAAAUGGCUGACAAAAAGGGGAGUAACUAAUUCUGCAAGACCAUGCCCAUUUUAGAUGCUAUGAUAGUAGCACACUUCCUCAUCCAAAUCUCCACCCACCUUGCCUACUCAAAAUAUUAAACAAGUAGGACCAUUCCUAACCUGAUGGUUAGGGCUUCUGACAUCCUUCCUCCUAUUUAGAUAUUUGUGGGGUAAGGUGCUAUUCAGCAAGAAUAAGGGUACCAGCAUCUGACUCUACAGAUGAAAUACACCCCAGUAUAAAAGUCCAGCACAAGAGCUGAGCACUACUGAAGUCACAUGUAUGCCAUUUAUUUUGGUGCGGCACAGGUCUUCACCCUGAGAAUUAAAAGGGUAUUUUCUCAGCACUUGUGUGUUUUAUACAUUUCACUACACUUGAGCACGUGAUGUCUCCAGCUUGUUUCUCUUAUUACUUUUCUUUACACCAUCACUCUAUCAGCUCAUGGAUAAAAAGAAAUCUUUAUAUAACACAUAUUUAAAUAAAAAGUUUUUUUUCCAAUAGAAGCACUAGUUAUCAGGGCGGCCACAAGGCUCUUGCUUCAGGUGCAAGCUAAGCCCAGAAAAAUUAUUUGACCAUUGAAGUGACACACGAUUUUAUGAGAACAUUUAAGAGAAAAAGAAAGUGUCAAAAAGUGGAAUGAUCUCCAGUCAAAAGUCAAGAACAGUUCAGGCAGUUAAGGGACAGAGGUAGGCAAUCUGAGCCUUCAUAAGAUCCUUUGAUACUGCAAGAAACGUCAGUAGUAACUCUUAUCAGCAAUGUGGCAGUUUUUUUUCUGGGUUGAACAUGAAAAUACAUGCUGAGCUGAUUGUCAUUAGCACCAAUGGAGGAAGCUUACAGAAAGGAGGACUUUGGUGUUAUAAAUCUAUUUAGAAAAGAAAUACAGGUCACACUUAAUAUUAAGGAUACAUUUAUAAAUAGUUCUUAUAAAUGAUUAAUAAAUGAUUAGCAGGUGCCCUAAGCAUUUUAUAGACAUGAGUAGUCUGAGUUACAGAUAGUUCCAAGCACAUCAGUAGAGUGUAAUUAAUGGAUAUAAGCCACAGUUAAUAAGGGCAAUCUGAUGGACUCUAUAAUGAUAGAUUAGCUGCUUAUUAAAACAUCUAUUACCUAUUUAUUAACACAUUAUAUACAUGUCUUCUAUAUAAAAUAUCCAAAAUGGGAAUGCUUGGCCUGAUUCUGAUGUUGCAUUCACCAGUUUUAAUGCCAUUGGCUUCAGCAGAGUGACAACUCCCAAUUUACACUGGUGUAAGUGAGAUCAGAAUAGUCCUGCUAUUUGCAGCAAGGGAGAAAACAACCAGAAGGAAAGAAAGUAGGAUGGCCGAGAAGCUAUGAAUGCUCAAUAUGAAAAAGGGGAAGAGUGGUUUCAACAGGUUCUUCUUGGUCAUCUAAGGCUUUUCCUCUCUGCCUGACAUGCUGUGCAAGGGCAAUAGGCAAUAUAAGUUUGAUGGCAUAAUCCAUCUAUUAUGUGCACAGUAAAAACUGGUUUUUCUCUCAGUUACAGUAAGGAUAAUCAAGAGAAACUUUACUGAAAUCAAUGGAAUGAUAAAGGUGUUCAGUUGGAGGGAGACCAGAAGCAAGGAAAAUAAAACCUCCCUACUGCAUGUGAAAAAUUUUCUGACUCCCUUAGAAAGUUUGUCUUGGAGAAACCAUGAAAUGAGCUCAUUGCCAACUUAAAUCAGAUAGUUGCCAAGUUUAGGAGCAGGGUAAUUUCAGAACUCUUGCAUGAGAGCAGAUUUUGUUGUUUCAAAGUUUAAAAAAAAAUCAUGGCAAAGUUAUUCCCAUGUUGAUUGCUUGAAAUUUUUUCUUGAAAUGCUGAUCUACACAGUAAAGAUCUACCAAAUGGUGGGUCCUGGUUACAGGAAGCAGAAGGGCAGUUGAAAGCCACCUUUGCCCUUGCUCCUCCAUUUCUGUCAGGAUAGACUAGCUCAGAAUUGGGGUAUCUCUAUAUCUUGGUCAGUUCUUACUUCAUCUGUGACACUGAUGUCUAAACAAAGAGAUAUAGGUAACCUCAUCAUGUUGGCUUGCAUCUAUAAUACACAGGUGGAGGACUCUAAACUUUAUUUAUCUUACUGUAUUGUAUCUGACCUGUAGCUUUUUGUGUUAUUCUUUUAGAUACACUAAAUUAACUUUGAGAAAGAAAAAGCAAAAUUAAAAAAACCUGAUGCCAUCACAGCUUAUCAUGUAAUAUGCAAGCAUACAAGUUGUUUCAACAUAAUUCAUGAAGGGUCAGAAUCUGAGACAUUUACUUAUGUUGAGUAGCACCUUACUCCAGGAGUAGCCCUGUUGAUUUUGAUAGGACCACUAUAGCACUAGAUACUAUUCAGCAUGAGUAAGGGUGGCACAAUCUAGUUGGUAAUGUGUUAGUACUAUAAUAUCUUGCUCUCUGGCAACAUUAAAUCUAAAGUGAACUCUAGCUGCAAAGGGAAACUUCACUCUCCAGCAUUCUGGAAACCACAAAGUUCUGUUGAGUUUGAAAAUGUAGCUUUUGGGUUCACUCAGCCUUCAGAUUUUGGCCAUGGAUGAAAAUCUGUCUUCUUGCUUGAAAAUAAAUUUAUGAAAUAACACUAGAAGUGCAGAUUCUGAUUAUUUAAUUUGCUUGGUGAUUAAAACAAACUAUUUUCAUCCACUGAGCUCUUCAGCAGAUUUGCCUUAUUCGUUGCAUAAACAUAUUUGUCUGGCUUCUUUUAUUAUUUGGUAUUAAAGAUAAUCAGUUGUCAAACCCUGUCUCUACUGUGUAUUUUUAAUAAAGAAAUAUAUCAUGAGAGUGAUCAGAAACUGAAUUCUAAUAAAAUGCUGGUACAUUAUUAAGCAGAAUGUAGUCUAUUGUUCAAGAUGAUAAGUAAGUCAUGGAGUUAAAAAAUAAUGAAAUGACACCACCUAUGUGUAAUUUUUUUUGCGGGUGUGUAGAUUUUAGCUUCUUAAUACUUUGAGCAAUGAGAAGCACUUGUUGCUUUCUCAGUAUUUUUAGAGAAUGUCAAGAUAAUUUAAUUUGAUAACUGUGUCAAUGUGGAACUGACACUGGUAACUCAUUUUCUUAUAUAAUGAAAGAUGUGGUUAUCUCAAAUAGUGGAUCAAUAUUUUCCCAGUGGUUUUUUUUCUCCAGAUAUCUUAUGAUAAACUAGACUUUCAUUGUUCCUGAAUCUAUAUUUAGAUUAAUCUUUUCCAUCACACAUCUAUACAUAAGACUUUCAUUAUUUUUUUUGAUUUCAGUGUACUGAAGUGUCUGCACAAUUAGAUCUCAGUUUUAAUUUAUUGUGAGACUUCAAGCUGGUUCUAUAAAUACAGCUUUCAUGACUCCAAGCACCACUUAUUUGUGACAGUUUCUAUAUGAUUUUCAUUGUUUGUGUUCACUGCUAAAUUAUGUGAAAACAUAGUACUAUGGCUAACGGCUAAAUUGGGGCUCUCAUAGAAAUGCAUAAUACUUAAACAGUAUUGCUGACUCUUGAUUUAAUAAGACAGCAGGAGCCAGAUGAAUAUAAUUUGAAAAAUGAAAGUAGGAGAAAAUAAUUUGCUGUCCAACUAGCCAUGAAAACACUGUUUUGUCAAUUGCAGUAACUGUCAUCCCAUAUGUGUUUGAACUUGCAUGCAGACACAGAACAAUGUUGGACAGGCUGCUGUUGGACGAAUAAACAAGGGAUGAGCAUUAUACACAUUAUUGAUACACAUUUUGUUUAUUAGUAUUGUUUAUUUGUACUAUAGUGGUACCUAUAGGUGGAUUAUAGGUUACAACCAAAAUCAGAGUCCCACUGUGCUAGUUGCUAUACAUACAUACCAUAUGCCUCAAACAGCUUACACUCUAAAUAAACAAGACAGACAAAAGCUCAUUAGCCCCAUUUUACAGAUGGGGGACUGAGGCAAAGAGAGAUUAAAUGCACACAGGAAUCCCAAUCCUCAAACUUUAGAUGCAAGACCAUCCUUUCCCACUAACAAAUGGGUGAACCAAGAUGGACAUAAUUCUUGACUGAGUUUUGAGUGUAACUGGAGAUUUUAAAAGUGUGAGAAAUCUAAUUAGUAGUGACUGUGAUGUACAAAGGAAUUACUUCUUUAAGUAAGGUGAAAGUGAAGAGAAUAUGUUUUAUGUGGGUAGAGGAUAAUUUUAAGAUAGUGUAGGAAGUAUAUAACUGAUUUGUCUAGGUGAUGAAGGGAAAAGAAAAUGUUGAUUUGACUUUAAUUUAUGAGGGGAGGAGGAAAACAGCAAUGUGGGGGUGGGGAAUAAAGUAACUUUUCACUCAGUUGUGACUAAGUAUUGGACCAAGCAUGGCACGGAAGAUCACACCAGAUUUCUGUCAUAUCUCUGCAAUAUUUAAGCACCAACAAUAGUGAAUAGACAACGGUGCAGUGUUAGAGUCAUCUCUGGAUUUCCUUGUCUUGGGGGAAUUUGAUCUAAAUGGGAAGAAAGAAAUGAGGUCUCUCCUGUAGGUCAUACAGAGAAGGUCAUAGCUAGAACAUAGCUGAGAACCAGCAGCUGAAUCAGCACUCAAUUAGUUUCCCUGGAAAAGGGCCUGACUGAGGGAAGAUGGGGUUAAUUAUUAGAUCAGUAUUAGCUGGGGAGAGUUAAGGAACUAGUUAGCCCAUUAACUAGCAAGACCAGUAUAAAAGUACAUCUCUUCCCUCUCUUCUCUCUGGCAAAUGGGUUUGAUGUUUGUAUGUCAUUAGAAACAGAAUUGCUGCACAGUACUGUUAAGGGUGAUAUUUAAGAUAACACAAACAAUAUGUUGGUGUGUACAAACUGGAGGAGUAGCCAUUUGUACAAGAAGAUAGAAGCGGGGAACCGCACCCUGUCACAGCUGAGUACCAGUGGAGAUGGAGCAGGCCUGAACAUUGGCAAGUCUAUUCUGCUACAUCCUGCAGGUGCCAAGGGAGAAAAUGAGAAGUAUGGUACACAAGUGGGCCCCAAUUCAGCAAAACACUGAAGCGUAUGCUUCCAUCCAUUCCUACUCAGCAAAGAACUUAAGUACGUGCUUACCUUUAAGCAUAUGCUUCAUUUCCAUGAAAUUCAAUGGGUGCUUUGUUGAAUAGUCAUGGUUUUCUGGAUCAGAGCCAUGUAGAACAGAAACAGCAUUGUGAACAUUGUGGAAAUAGGGGUGGUGUCCUAUUCUAGGGCAAUACACAAGAGCGCAGAGCUGGCAGAGAAGUGUAAUGCCUUGGUUGUCUCAUAUCCAUCAUUAGGUACUCUUUCAGCAAGAAACUCAGUGAAGGAAAGAGACCUGUAAGAGCCAUAAAUAAUCUAUUCUGAAACAAACAAGUUCUUCAUAGAGUAUUAGACCAACCUCACAUCUCCCCCAGCAUAGGACAGAUUUUUCUUGUAUGGGAUGGCUAUCUGUGCACAUACUGUUAUUCACAAUGAUUUAUUUUAUACAGUCAAAAUUUGACCCAAUUUUCUUUCUUCCUUGUUUUGUUUCAUUUAACCCUACUGUAUCAUCCUGUAGAGACUCUACCCACUACCUUACUCAGUCAUCUCUGCUUGAAUCUCAUAGCCUUCUAUAGCAUAGACCACAAGGAUGAGUUGUGCCCACUGAUAACUGGCUGAGAUGAGCUGCAUAAACCAUUCCAUUCUUUCAAUCCUUGCAUGAUAUUUUUCUUGUUCAUGUGAAACAAUAAUAAACUUGUACUUAUACUUCCGAUGCAUCAUGCUCAGCUCAUGUUCAUUUUAAGCCGUGGUCAUAACCUUAAUAUGAAUUGCUACUCUAUAAAAAUGAUGUCACGAUAAAACUGAGUAUCUUCAAGCCUGCCCUUGUACAAAAUGCCAAAAUAAAACUCCUCUCCAACAAAUUCUUGCUCCUUGUUAAAUAUAAGUACUCUGACUCAUGUUCUUUGGUUAGAAUAAAGGGUGUAGCACUCUAUAAGCACUUUGGACUGAACAUUUCAGUCACAUGUAGUUCAAUUAGUGUAAAGCCUGGAGAGUAAAAUACAG
This is a long non-coding RNA of Dermochelys coriacea (leatherback sea turtle), 13553 nucleotides long. RefSeq lists it as uncharacterized. The record is from RefSeq and is a predicted model, not a curated record. The transcript is spliced from 4 exons. Lineage: Eukaryota; Metazoa; Chordata; Testudines; Dermochelyidae.